Oncorhynchus tshawytscha (Chinook salmon) is the source of this 321-nucleotide long non-coding RNA. Lineage: Eukaryota; Metazoa; Chordata; Actinopteri; Salmoniformes; Salmonidae. The record is from Ensembl.
CGCUCCUGGAAUGGCAGGUAGCCUAGUGGUUAGAGUGUUGGGCCAGGAACCGAAAGGUUGGUGGAUGGAAUCCCUGAGCUGACAAGGACCUGAGCCCUGGGACCAUGCCUCAGGACUACCUGGCAUGAUGACUCCUUGCUGUCCCCAGUCCACCUGGCCGUGCUGCUGCUCCAGUUUCAACUGUUCUGCCUGCGGCUAUGGAAGCCUGACCUGUUCACCGGACGUGCACCUGUCCCAGACCUGCUGUUUUCAACUCUCUAGAGACAGCAAGAGAGGUCCGCGACAUUACGUCACCACCGCGGGGAAACAAGGAGUACAGCC